AGGAUUACCCGCUGAACUUAAGCAUAUCAAUAAACCGAGAGGAAUC
Molecule: ribosomal RNA, 46 nt
Filed under: Trametes sp. zzu1
Lineage: Eukaryota; Fungi; Basidiomycota; Agaricomycetes; Polyporales; Polyporaceae
Description: partial 28S ribosomal RNA
Source: RNAcentral